Molecule: ribosomal RNA, 497 nt
Filed under: uncultured bacterium
Lineage: Bacteria
Description: partial 16S ribosomal RNA
Rfam family: Bacterial small subunit ribosomal RNA
Source: RNAcentral
GAUGAACGCUGGCGGCGUGCCUAAUACAUGCAAGUCGAGCGAACAGACGAGGAGCUUGCUCCUCUGAUGUUAGCGGCGGACGGGUGAGUAACACGUGGAUAACCUACCUAUAAGACUGGGAUAACUUCGGGAAACCGGAGCUAAUACCGGAUAACAUGUUGAACCGCAUGGUUCAACAGUGAAAGACGGUCUUGCUGUCACUUAUAGAUGGAUCCGCGCCGCAUUAGCUAGUUGGUAAGGUAACGGCUUACCAAGGCAACGAUGCGUAGCCGACCUGAGAGGGUGAUCGGCCACACUGGAACUGAGACACGGUCCAGACUCCUACGGGAGGCAGCAGUAGGGAAUCUUCCGCGAGGGGCGAAAGCCUGACGGAGCAACGCCGCGUGAGUGAAGAAGGUCUUCGGAUCGUAAAACUCUGUUAUUAGGGAAGAACAAAUGUGUAAGUAACUAUGCACGUCUUGACGGUACCUAAUCAGAAAGCCACGGCUAACUACGUG